Molecule: small RNA, 28 nt
Filed under: Bombyx mori (domestic silkworm)
Lineage: Eukaryota; Metazoa; Arthropoda; Insecta; Lepidoptera; Bombycidae
Description: ovarian small RNA-36740
Source: RNAcentral
UUAGUAUGUAUUUAAGUUUAGCAGUGCC